Molecule: long non-coding RNA, 1389 nt
Organism: Oncorhynchus tshawytscha (Chinook salmon)
Lineage: Eukaryota; Metazoa; Chordata; Actinopteri; Salmoniformes; Salmonidae
Source: Ensembl
GGUCAUAUUCACCCUGUAGGUAUACUGCUACACUAUGAGGUCAUAUUCACCCUGUAGGUAUACUGCUACACUAUGAGGUCAUAUUCACCCUGUAGGUAUACUGCUACACUAUGAGGUCAUAUACACCCUGUAGGUAUACUGCUACAUUAUGCAGCAAUAUUCACCCUGUAGGUAUACUGCUACACUAUGAGGACAUAUUCACCCUGUAGGUAUACUGCUACACUAUGAGGUCAUAUUCACCCUGUAGGUAUACUGCUACACUAUGAGGACAUAUUCACCCUGUAGGUAUACUGCUACACUAUGAGGUCAUAUUCACCAUGUAGGUAUACUGCUACAUAAGCCAGUCUCCUCCCCAAUGGGUUGUAUAAUAUGUAGUGUAAUUGGUGCUACUGUUGGCUGGCUGAUAAUUGAAACAGCCCAUCUAAUUAAACACUCAUUACCAGACACUGCCUGAUGACAGAGGGAUGGUGGGAUGUAGGAAUGGAGGGAUGUGGAUGGAGGGAUGAAUUGAUGAUGGGAUUGCAAGGUGGAGGAACAGGGGGAUGUAGGGAUAGAGGGAUGGGCUUUUAAUGAACCCUGUGGCUUCACAAAAGUCACAAUAGAAUCACUGUUAUCAGAUUCGUCAUCUGGAAUGUGCUUCACCCGCAAGUGAAUCUUUGACAAUAGAAAUAUCUUCUGUGUACAAUGUAAAACACCAAAUAAUGCUUGCAGAGCAGAAUUAGGCCGAUACCAGCCAGAAAAGAGAAGUUAAAUUCUACAACCACCUAAAAGGAAGUGAUUCCCAAACCUUCCAUAAUAAAGCCAUCGCCUACAGAGAAAUUAACCUGGAGAAGAGUCCCCUAAGCAAGCCGGUCCUGGGGCUCUGUUCACAAACAGACCCCACAGAGCCCCAAUAGCAACACAAUUAGACCCAACCAAAUCAUGAGAAAACAAAAAGAUAAUUACUUGACACAUUGAAAGAAUUUACAAAAAACUAGAAUGCUAUUUAGCCCUAAACACAGUGGCAGAAAACCUGACAACUGUGACUGACCAAAAUUAAGGAAAUCUUUGACUAUGUACAGACUCAGUGAGCAUUGCUAUUGAGAAAGGCCGCCGAAAGCAGACCUGGGUCUUAAGAGAAGACGGGCUAUGUGCUCACUGCCCACAAAAUGAGGUGGAAACUGAGAUGCACUUCCUCACCUCCUGCCAAAUGUAUGGCUGUAUUAGAGACACAUAUUUCCCUCAGAUUACACAGACCCACAAAUAAUUUGAAAACUAAUCCAAUUUUGAUAAACUCCCAUAUAUACUGGGUGAAAUUCCACAGUGUGCCAUCACAGCAGCAAGAUUUGUGACCUGUUGCCACAAGAAAAGGGGCAACCAGUGAAGAACAAACACCAUUAUAAAUACAAC